This is a long non-coding RNA of Ailuropoda melanoleuca (giant panda), 4755 nucleotides long. RefSeq lists it as uncharacterized. Lineage: Eukaryota; Metazoa; Chordata; Mammalia; Carnivora; Ursidae. The record is from RefSeq and is a predicted model, not a curated record. The transcript is spliced from 4 exons.
GCCAUGCUAGCUUCGAGCUGCGGGUCGGGGUACUUCUCUGGGCCUGCAGGUUAAGGAAGAGCACAAAGGGGACCAAAGCUGUAGGCGGGUCGAACUUGGGCCAGAGGCCUUUUUGGAUUUAAAGGACCGGAAGAGGGAUAGAGAGGAUUAUAAGGGUGAGACCGACUGAUUAUUUAGGCUGGUUCAGGGAUCUACACUUGGGCAGGCUUGGAAAUUCAGUUUUAUUAAAGAACACGCACUGAUUUGGGCCAUUUCAUGAAUCUUCUGGAUGUUGUCCAUUUGCCUUUCAGACAGUCUCCACCCCUCCUCACCCUGUUCUGCGCUCCCACAGGCUGGCAGCAUGAACCCCAUCCACAGAAUCCUCCACGUUCUGGCGUCGGGUUGACUUUGACCAAUCGGAGGCUCUGGCAGGAGAUCACAGUGUAGCAAAGAAAGGCAGUCAGGGAGGCUCUUCCCCCGGUGUUCCACCUUCCAGAUUUUCCACACCUCGUAAAUCGCCGCUUUAUCAAACUCUCCUUAAAAUAUCUCAUCUCAUGUGCCGACUCAGAACACUUGUGAUAUUCAAUCAACCUGACAUUCAAUCAACAUCCAUCAACUGACAGCAUGGAAAUUAAGAUGAGGAUAACUGUCCCUAAGGUAGCAUCACCAAGGGCAAGACCAUGACACGGUCUUCAGCCAGGUUCUAUCACCUCAGAAGUCAGCUCUUUUCCACGUUCAUGUGGUCAAUCGGUGGUGUUGAAAUGGAGACAGAGGUCAGGAACUUGGGAGAACAUCUCAUCUGCCUUCGAUGAGAAUCAGGCUUCAUCUGAGAUGGGAACAGAUCCUUAUCCUGCAUCCUGCCAUGUCUGAGUGACAGCUUGUCAACUUCCCUAACUUCAUUCGUUAAAAUUAUUUAAGUGCUGGCUGGAGGAUCUUGUCCUUCUGGAUCUUAGUUUUCUCAUAUAGGCAAAAUGGGGAGCUUGGACUAGCUUAGAAGUCUCCAGACCUUCCUGCUAUAGAGAUCAUAGGGAGAGGGCCAAGAGGAAAUCCCAAGGAUAGAGAGUUAAGGAAGUGCAACCUCCAGUAUUGUUAUCAGAGUUAGGUUCUUGAACCCGAGCCAAGGCCAGACCCCACAAUCAAAGACACAGAGGUUACAGAUGAAGCUGAAGGGAGAUACAGCAACACCAAAAAGUACUUAGCCGGUGUCCCUGUAGAGUGGGGAGACCCUGCUUAUAUAACGUUCCCGCUCUGGUUCCGCUCAGGUCCAAUUUGCUAAUGAGGGAAAGAAAAGAAGUGCUUCAUCCUGGUUAGUUGGAAAAAGCCUUGUCCUGAUUGGUUGAUAUUGGCAACUCAGGCAGCUCAUUGGUGCUCUUUAGAGUGGGGGGUCUUCUGCUUUAAGUCCCGCUUGGAGAGGGGACGCAUCCUGGUCUUGCUCUGUGAAGAGAAGCAGUUUAACCCCAGCAGCCUUCAGAAAGCACCCCAGGUGUGCAGUCUUUUUCUUUUGGGGUUUGUUCCCACCGACCCUCACUGUCCCAGUAUUCCACGUGCUUUCUAGCUCUCUCUAGCCAUUGGGAUUGCCUCUGUACAGCUGGAGAACCGUACCUGCAGGACUGCUAACAUGACUUUCGGGGCCCUGUGCAAAAUGAAAAUGCGGGUCUCCUUCUUCAAACUAACAAGAAUUUCAAAACAGCAAAGAUAGAGCAUUAAACCAAGUGCGGAAUCCUUCUAAGUGUGGGACCCUGUGUGACUGUAUGGGUCCUACGUCCAUGAAACCAGCCCUGAAUACAUAACACCCUGUAUCAAAUGGACAAACAUAAAACCAUAGAUUUGGGGCUUUUUGUGUAGUUAAUUUCAAAACUUUCAUUUGGCUACAAUAGAGGCUACUUCAAUCAAAAAAUCAAUUUGAAGCUUCACUGAUCAUCUAUAUUCUAAAAAACUUUGUAAUUCUCUAAGUAAACAAUAGAAGAAACAAAUAAAUGCCCGACAAAUUUCUCUGAAUUCCCUAAAAUUGGAGUGAUUGUGGGUUUGGUUUAUUACGACAAUCUGGUUCCAAAGAGGCCUGCCAAUUAAAGGGAUUUGCCUGCAUUGUUUAAACACACAUUUUAUCUCCGUUUGUCUUUGUUCAGAAUCAAAUGCAUCCGUUUAUCCUCUCUUCUGGGAUUGGUGUCAAUGAACCAUUUUUCUUUUAGUCUUCAGUCAGCAACUACUUACCACAUCUUAAGUACUUAACCUGCCCCGCACUGUGCUAAGUAUUUUAAGUACCGGGCGCCAGUCCACAGCUGAGGAUGACUGGUGGGGUGGGGUGAAGAGUCAACUAAAGGAAGGGAAUAUCAGGAGCCAAGACGUGAAGAUCAAUACCUUAGCUUGGUCACCCGUGACCUUGGCAAACCGUUGACUGCAGGGCUUUGGGGCAGCCUGAGCUGUUGGUCCUGUGCCUAGAUGCUUCAAAGCUUUAUUUAAAAUGUCUGGAUCCCCAGGAAGCCCCCUAAACCCAAGUUACCAGGAGAUUUGGAAAAGACUGGGGUCGAUGGGCUUCAUUGUUUAUAAAAGCAAGAGUGCUGGUAAAAGAAAUAAAGCAUUGAAAGCUUGGAAUCCUGAGAAGCUCAUGUCAACAUUAACCAACUUUACUUUGCACACCAGGUAGAACAUCAAUCUGGCUGUAAAUUAAAGCAAGGUGUGUUAGAUGGGAACGUAGACACUGUACACUUGUAUAGGUGCUGUUUCCUUCCUGGCAGGAGUAAAUGUACCUGUAAGAUGAAAAAAAAAAUCUUAAGUUGGCUGGAGAAUCCAGUGUGGCUGGAGUAUAGGAGGUAUGUGGGGGAUAAUGUGGGAGGUGAAUAUAGAAAGGAAGCUUGGAGCUAAUAGUGUAGGGCCUGUGAUACCAAAGGAGUUUGUCAUUGAUCCUGCGAACCAGAAGGAGUUUUCCAGCAGAGAAGUGGUAAGAGCUGCCCUUUAAGGAAUUUGUUAGUCACACCUGGCACUAACCAGUGGUAGCAAGUAUUAUGUAAUGGUUUACACAGUAUUUAGGAAAAGUGGCUGCAAAUAAUGUACAGCAAUGCCAUUUCCCCAGAGUCUCUGCAAUACGGUAUAUUGGGUCUUUCAAUUCUCAGUGGUUCCCAAUGCGUAGGUCUCGCAUGUCAUUCAUUAAAUUCAUCCCCAAGGAUCUUUCUUAAUGCUCUUAUAAAAAAUACUUGAACAAAUUAUUUCCAGUUGUUCAUUGCUAGUAUAUAGACAUUCAAUAGAUUUUUUAAAUGUUGAAAUUAUAUCCUGUGACCUUGCUAAGUUCACUUAUUUCUAUUAAGUUUGGGGUUUUUUGGGGUAGAUUUUUAGAAUCAUUUUCCAUGUACACUAUCCCGUUGUCUAUGAAAAAGUACUUUUAUGUCUUCCUUUAUAAUCUGUAAGUCUUCCAUUUCUGUUUAACUUUUCUUGUCCACACCUUUUUCAUGGCUAAUACUAAUAGAAUUGUAAGAACAGCCAUCCUUGCUAGUUUCCAGUCAGGAGGAAGCCUUCAGUCCUUUACCAUUAAGUAUGAUGUUAGCCAUGGCUUUUUAUAGAUGCCCAUCAUCAGAUUGAAGAUGUUCCCUUCUUCUUCUAGUUUCCUGAGAGUUUUAGUUGGAUUUUGUCAAUUUUUUCUGCUGCAUCUAUUGAGCUAAUCUUAUGAUUUUCUCCUUUAUUCUUCUAAUGUGGUAAACUACCUUUAUUUCUAUUAUUGAACCAACUUUGCAUUCCUAUAGACAACAUAGUUAGUCAUGAUGUAUAAUCCUUCUGUAUUGCUGGAUUCAGUGUGCUAACGUUUUAUUCCAUGUUUUUUUUUUCUCUUAUGUCUAUGAAGGUUACUUAUUUGUCAUUUCUUUUCGUUGUAAUGUCUUUUUCUUAUUUUGAUAUCAGAGCACUUCUGGGCUCAAAAUGAAAUGGAAAGUGUACAAAAUGCCUAUUAUUUCUUGUUUAAAUGUUUAGAUCACUUGAUGUUGUCUUAUAAUGGAAUACAAAGGCUCUGUUUGGUUUAUUUUUUUUUUUUUCACUCUUUUUUUCUGUUUGUGACCCCCCACCUUCAGCCUCUGCUUCCUGUAUCUUGCCUUUUUCCUUCUUAUGCUACAGUUUGGAAAUAACUCCCAUGCAGAAAGCUGUAGAUAGGGAGCCCACCUAAUGUAUUUUUCAUCUUUAAAGGAUCACAUCCCUCCUAUUUCUGUUGUCUAAAGCCUGAAAAAUGUUGCUUCAUGUAUUUUAUUCAGUUUUAUCAUUGUUUACAAUAUAAAAAUGAAGUUGAUAUCUGUACCGCAUCAUGGUCAAAACCACAGGUCCACUAUUACUGUGUUUUUUAAAGCUUGCCAUUUACUGAGCAUUUGUGUGGGAGGAUAAGCAUUUUACAUGCACUUUCUCAUGUAACCAUCACACAGCUCUCUGUGGCAUAUAUUAUAGUGUUAUAGAUGGCUAAAUGAGACUUGAAGAGAUUAAGCCAGUUUUCUAAGGUCAUAGGCUUUUUAGGUGGUAUAUUCAAAAUUUGAAUUUAUCUCUACAAGAUUAAAAACCCAAGCUCUUAACUAUUAUGUAAUUGUGUCAUCUUAUAAAGAUAAAAUUGAUUUACAUUUGAAAACCACUAAGACCCAUGAUUGAUUGAAUCAGACAUGAGAAUCAGACAUGAUUCAAUAAAUCAGUAAAGCAGACCUAUUUAAAUUUCUAGUAAAGCAUAUUUCUAGAGCUGUGGAGUAGUUGGCGAGUCAUUUGCCUGUUUGAUUUCACCCAAUUUCCCAUUUUUUCUCUUUGCUGUUCACUAUU